GAUGAAGAACGCAGUGAAAUGCGAUAAGUAGUGUGAAUUGCAGAAUUCAGUGAAUCAUCGAAUCUUUGAACGCACAUUGCGCCCCUUGGUAUUCCAUGGGGCGUGCCUGUUCGAGCGUCAUUUGUACCUUCAAGCUCUGCUUGGUGUUGGGUGUUUGUCUCGCCUCUGCGUGUAGACUCGCCUCAAAACAAUUGGCAGCCGGCGUAUUGAUUUCGGAGCGCAGUACAUCUCGCGCUUUGCACUCAUAACGACGACGUCCAAAAGUACAUUUUUACACUCUUGACCUCGGAUCAGGUAGGGAUACCCGCUGAACUUAAGCAUAUCAAUAAGCGGAGGA
RNAcentral lists this unclassified non-coding RNA (337 nucleotides) under soil metagenome. RNAcentral's name for it is "partial contains 5.8S ribosomal RNA, internal transcribed spacer 2, and large subunit ribosomal RNA". The stretch from base 1 to 120 matches the Rfam family "5.8S ribosomal RNA", at positions 35 to 154 of the family's 154-position model. The record is from RNAcentral.